RNAcentral lists this ribosomal RNA (247 nucleotides) under uncultured bacterium. RNAcentral's name for it is "partial 16S ribosomal RNA". It matches the Rfam family "Bacterial small subunit ribosomal RNA", at positions 15 to 253 of the family's 1533-position model. The record is from RNAcentral.
GAUCCUGGCUCAGGAUGAACGCUAGCUACAGGCUUAACACAUGCAAGUCGAGGGGCAGCAUGAACUUAGCUUGUUAAGUUUGAUGGCGACCGGCGCACGGGUGAGUAACACGUAUCUAACCUUCCGUUUACUCAGGGAUAGCCUUUCGAAAGAAAGAUUAAUACCUGAUAGUAUGGUGAGAUUGCAUGAUAACACCAUUAAAGAUUUAUUGGUAAACGAUGGGGAUGCGUUCCAUUAGGUAGUAGGG